Molecule: long non-coding RNA, 1070 nt
Filed under: Cyanistes caeruleus (blue tit)
Lineage: Eukaryota; Metazoa; Chordata; Aves; Passeriformes; Paridae
Description: lncRNA (ENSCCEG00000016186.1)
Source: RNAcentral
CAAUAUUCAAAUGUAGCAUGUUCCAAUUCCAAUCAGGAAUUCUGUUAUCACAGUAUCGGUGAAUCCAGUCUGCGAAGUUACUUUUCAUAAAAAUGCUUUAAACUUUAUUUACCAUUGCCUUACUCACUCAUUCAGUUGACAUCUAUUGCAUCAACUGCUGCAAAAGCAAGAAUAAAGCAGGACUCUCAUCAUCAUCAUCAUCUUGGAAAUUUCUGUACUGCUUCAUCAAUCUACUACGAAGAGCCAGUCACAGACCUAUCUAAGAGUCAACUAAAUACCAAACACCCUAGAAACAGCUGACAAAACAAAUUUCAUUCUGAAGACUAUGUAAGGAUGAUGAAAAAGGAGAGAAUGGCACAUAUCAAAUCUUAUGUCAUGAAAGAAAACAGUUACCAGAUCUAUAAGCUGAUCUUACUGUAGGAGCAAGGACACAUUGCAUUCACUUGGUCUCUUCCACAGAAAGAGGAUGUAGGAAGCAGAGUAAAUAACUGGUUUGUAGGAAUUCUUCACAUUACAAUGAAGUAAAAAAAAAGUGAAGAGAUGAGAGCAGUAGAGAAGUUUUGUGUGCUAGUUAUGCUGCUGGACAGCUGUAACUCAUCCAGGACCCUCCAGGCUAUUUACUUAGCAAUCCAUUAACCACUGCUAAUUUUCUCCUUGAAAAUCACUUAUUUUCUUAUAUAAAACAGGGAGGCAAUUGUUCUUCACACUGGAAAGUGUAACACACACACAUACACACACCACUUGGCUCUGUUAGUGUCUUACUUGCGUGGCCCACACAAUCUGGCACUACUGUCACAGUAGAGCUCUAUCAACCCCACACGAGACCUCCCCAGACUCUUUGCACCCUUGCACUCGCAGUGUUCCCCUCUCAGUCAUCACAGUGGGGCCUUUUCCAGCCCAAGGAGGGAGAAUUACUGCAAAUGAGAUCAUGGAACAAAUCAGAGGUAGUUUUGCCAUUGCAGUACUGCAUUCAUGGGAAAAUGAGAAGAAAUCUUCUUGUAGUGAGUCAGCUCAUCCACCAUGUCCCUUUCUUUGCUCUUCAGGUAAGUAAAAUAUAUUUGCACACCUGA